AUUAUUAGUCUAUUAAGGUAGUCCCUGCUCAUUGAUUUUUUUUUUAAAGCUACAGUAUUUUAACUGUCCUAAGGUAGCAUAAUAAUUUGAUAAAUAACUUUUAUCUGGUAUGAUAGGGUUAAUAAGAAUAUUUCUUUCUUUCUUUAGAAAUGAAAUUUUCAAUUCAAGUAAAAAUGCUUGAAUAACUUAGAAAGACGACAAGACCCUAGAACCUAAACUGAUUUAACUAAGUUUUAUACUGGGAUGGUAAAUUUACUUCAAAAUAAUUUUAACAUAGUUAAUGAAUCUCAAAACCUAAAUUCUUAUUUAUAGAAAGGUACUCUAGGGAUAACAGCAUAAUUAUUUUUUAGAGCCCUAAUCGACAAAAUAUAAUUUGACCUCGAUGUUGAAUUAUAACACCUUAUUAAGAGAAAUUCCUAAAUUAAGGAGGUCUGUUCGACCUUAAAAUUUAUACGUGAU
RNAcentral lists this ribosomal RNA (459 nucleotides) under unidentified. RNAcentral describes it as "Burmoniscus sp. partial 16S ribosomal RNA". It matches the Rfam family "Bacterial large subunit ribosomal RNA", at positions 1836 to 2604 of the family's 2925-position model. The record is from RNAcentral.